UCGUGCUAGAUGGGGGGUCGGCGGUCCCCUGCAACCCGAAACCCGCCUAUGCGGGAUCGAAAGAACGUCAUGAGGCCGGACCGGGGCGAACAAGGUCCACUGGUCCGAAGCGUUGAAGGCUGGGUCUUGCGAUGGUCGCCGCUGCGAACCCCGCCAGGACCGGAAGGUAGCAACGGUAAGCGGAAUGGUGUCCAGUCGCAAGUCUGCCUGGCUGGAGCUGACGACCGAUGCGACCCUCUCCCCGACCGGUCGAAGACGUCCGCACGA
This 267-nucleotide signal recognition particle RNA is filed under the name Caldifarciminota bacterium. RNAcentral describes it as "signal recognition particle sRNA large type". It matches the Rfam family "Bacterial large signal recognition particle RNA". From Rfam's summary of the family: The signal recognition particle (SRP) is a universally conserved ribonucleoprotein involved in the co-translational targeting of proteins to membranes. Archaeal SRP consists of a 7S RNA and homologues of the eukaryotic SRP19 and SRP54 proteins. In most bacteria, the SRP consists of a 4.5S RNA and the Ffh protein (a homologue of the eukaryotic SRP54 protein). The record is from RNAcentral. Lineage: Bacteria; Pseudomonadati; Caldifarciminota.